UUUGCAUGUGAGGAUCCCUUUAGUUUGGGUUUUGUUAGAAUUUGGUUAGAUUUGUAGUUAAAUACUAUUUGAAUAAGAAUUAAUAUUUAAAUCUGUUUGAGAUAAAUUAAGAUUUAAAUAUUAAUUAGAACAUAAACCUAACUAGAUUAGGAUUAAUAUUUAAAUCUAUUAGAGAUUGAUUAAGAUAGAUUUAGAUAUUAAUUAAAGUAUGAAUCCUAAAUAUAUUAGGAUUGGGGUACGUUUUAAGUUGAGUAUUAUAAAUAGGCAUUGUGGCUCUCUUAAAAAUCCGAUUUGACGUUUUCGUUGCGGAAUCCCAACAAUCGAUACCGGAUCCACAGCAGUCGGUAUCGGAGCAGGUUGCGGAUUCACGAGAUCCGGUACCGGGGCGAGUACCGGAUUCCCAACAAGUGGUAUCAGAGCCGAAGGUUACCGAUCUGCGGGAGAGAUCGACGGAGAUGGCCACGAAAUUCGAAAUCGAGAAGUUCGACGGCAAGAACAAUUUCGGAUUAUGGCAAAUUAAAGCACGAGCAAUCCUCGUACAGCAAAAGUUAGACGAGACGUUGAACGGGAAGGAGGCAAAGCUAGCGGACGUCACGGAUGCUGCAUGGACUAAGAUGGAGCGGAAGGUGCUGAGUACGCUUCAUCUAUCAUUAGCAGAUGAUGUUCUUUACAAUGUAGCCGGCGAGACGACACCGGCGAAAUUGUGGAAGAAAUUGGAAGAUCUGUACAUGACCAAAUCCCUGACGAACAGAUUGUAUCUGAAGCAGCGACUGUUUAUGUUGCGGAUGCAAGAAGCGGCGAGCCUACAUGAUCAUCUAAAUGAGUUCAACAAGAUGGUGGUCCAGUUGACCAGUAUCGGAGUCAAUCUGGAUGACGAGGACAAGGCGCUGAUUUUACUAUCUUCGCUAUCGACGACAUAUGAGCAUCUGGUGACUACGUUGCUUUAUGGCAAGGAGACCAUAAGCGUGGAGGUGGUCACGGCGGCGCUUCUCUCGAACGAGAUGCGGAAGAUGACUCAGGAGUCUAGCACGUAGAGCCGGGAUACUACUUUGGUGGUGAGAGCGAAGAAGGAGGUGAAAAUAUCGGCGACCGGAGAUAGACAGAAGAAGACGUUAUCUGAGGUAGAAUGCUUUUACAGUCACAGGAAGGGGCAUAUCAAGCGCAAUUGUCGAAAAUUUCAGGAUGAUCUGAAGGAGUUAAAGCGACAGAAGGAGCAAACUGUCGUGAACCAGGACGAGACGGUAUCAGCGACGGCGCAGACAGCAGAGUCGGAGAUGAUCGAUUCUGAUGUGCUGUAUGCGGCGACCGGAGGUGCGAAAAUUUCGGACGAUACGUGGGUGCUCAAUUCGGCGUGUUCUUUUCACGUAUGCCCGGAGAAGGAGUCUUUUGCCACCUAUAAGGUGAUCAAAGGUGGAAAUGCGCUGAUAGGGAACGGGACAGCGUGCAAAGUAUUGGGAGUCGGCAUGGUGAAAAUCCGAAUGCACGAUGGGGUCGUGAGGACGCUGACAGGUGUGUGGCACGUUCCUGGAUUGAAGCGGAAUUUGAUCUCAUUAGACGCAUUGGACUCGAAGGGUUGCGAUUUUUCAGCUUCAGGUGGAGCUAUGAGCGUCCGAAAACGAGAUCGAGUCGUAUGCGAGGCGAACAAGCGUGGGAACUUAUACGUUCUGAACUGGAGCACAGCCAGAACGGGAGCAAAGACGGUUUGGGUUCCAAAAGUUCGCGGAUGUGCAGUUGCUCGAGACGGAGCGACGGAUGCGGCGACAUCGAGCGGAGGAGACAAGCUCAAGGUGGAGCUUACAUGGUGAGCUCAACGUAGCGGUUGAAAAUUACAAAUCAAACCAAGGUGGAGAAUGUUAGGAUUUGGUUAGAUUUGUAGUUAAAUCCUAUUUGGAUAAUAAUUAAUAUUUAAAUCUGUUUGAGAUAAAUUAAGAUUUAAAUAUUAAUUAGAGGAUAAACCUAACUAGAUUAGAAUUAAUAUUUAAAUCUAUUACAGAUUGAUUAAGAUAGAUUUAGAUACUAAUUAAAGUAUGAAUCCUAAAUACAUUAGGAUUGGGGUACGUUUUAAUUUGAGCAUUAUAAAUAGGCAUUAUGGCUCUCUUUUUUGGGUGUAGUACGGUUGGAACCAUUGGGGUGUCGUACCAGAGAGAGAAAAAGAGAGAGAGAGAGUUAUUUUAGUGCACCUUGUGCACGGGUGCACGCGGAGAAGUCUUCUUUGUGGGUUUAUAGAAGACGAGAGAAGGGUAAAAGAGAUUCAAGAAGGAGGGCUCGGGUUGUAACUACUCUGUGCAGAAGAGGAGUCAGGUGUAAUCUUCUCUUAUUUAAUGAAUCUUAUUUUACCUGUAUAUUUUUCUCUUUUAUGAUUGUAUCAGCUUUUCCCGAGGAGACGGGUUUAUGGUAAAAAUCCGAUUCGACGUUUCCGUUGUGGAAUCCCAACAAUCGAUACCGGAUCCACAGCAGUCGGUAUCGGAGCAGAUUGCGGAUUCACGAGAUUCUGUACCGGGGCGAGUAUGGGAUU
This 2515-nucleotide long non-coding RNA is filed under the name Ananas comosus (pineapple). Its description in RNAcentral is "long non-coding RNA (ACOM_LNC022613)". The record is from RNAcentral. Lineage: Eukaryota; Viridiplantae; Streptophyta; Magnoliopsida; Poales; Bromeliaceae.